AACGUCGCAGUGUUCGAAUGGCGCGUAACGUACUCGUGAGUUUUGCAAAUCAGUGUGAUUAUAAAAGUAAUUUGUCGAGUAAUAAUUUAUAUUAUCGCGUGAUAUGUAGUGCGUUUUGUAGUCAUAAAAGUGUACAAUUACGGAGUGUGUUCGCGUUGAGAACAGUGUUCGUGUUCAAGACGAAAAUUGUGGAUUAAUAUUCUUCAACUACGGUCGCACGAAUGACAGCGCUGAGACGCAAUUCCAUUUGGAUUAUCAGCAGUUUUCUACUUGAUCAUCGGUUUUCGUAAAGAUUAAUAUUCUCCAACUACAGUCGCACGAAUGAGAACGCUGAGACGCAAUUCUACUUCGAUCAUCAGCAGUUUUCUACUUGAUCAUCGGUCUUCGUAAAGGAGACGGAGAAUAAAAUCGACGAAAAGUCUUCUGGAAAAGUUCGGUUAACGAGUUUGUUUGCUGGAUGAAAAUUCAACAUGGAUUUCCUCGGUUGAUUACCGUGAGAAGCGUGGGUCAGCAGGUGCCCACGUCAUGGAAAAACAAUGAAGGCAAACGAGGCGAAACGGCGUCAUCGUUUCGAGCGGAACGCGAAGCAGAAAAUUACCCUGGCAAAGAAAUCACGGUGAUUCCACGGUAAAAAUAUGGGGUGGAGUUAACUAGCCCAAAUAAAUUACCGGACUAAGAAUUACGGAGUCAAUGAUGACGAUUAGUACACAAUAAACAUCAUCUUUGAUGAACAAUA
Long non-coding RNA from Megachile rotundata (alfalfa leafcutting bee), 736 nucleotides. RefSeq lists it as uncharacterized. Lineage: Eukaryota; Metazoa; Arthropoda; Insecta; Hymenoptera; Megachilidae. The record is from RefSeq and is a predicted model, not a curated record.